UGGAUGGGUAGGGGAGCGUCGUGUGCCGGGUGAAGCAGCCGCGGAAGCGAGUUGUGGACGGUUCACGAGUGAGAAUGCAGGCAUGAGUAGCGAUACACACGUGAGAAACGUGUGCGCCGAUUGACUAAGGGUUCCUGGGUCAAGCUGAUCUGCCCAGGGUAAGUCGGGACCUAAGGCGAGGCCGACAGGCGUAGUCGAUGGACAACCGGUUGAUAUUCCGGUACCCGCUUUGAAACGCCCAGUACUGAAUCAGGCGAUGCUAAGUCCGUGAAGCCGGCCUGAUCUCUUCGGAGUUGAGGGUAGUGGUGGAGCCGAUGAACCAGACUUGUAGUAGGUAAGCGAUGGGGUGACGCAGGAAGGUAGUCCAGCCCGGGCGGUGGUUGUCCCGGGGUAAGGGUGUAGGCCGUGUGGUAGGUAAAUCCGUCACACGUUAAGGCUGAGACCUGAUGCCGAGCCGAUUGUGGUGAAGUGGAUGAUCCUAUGCUGUCGAGAAAAGCCUCUAGCGAGUUUCAUGGCGGCCCGUACCCUAAACCGACUCAGGUAGUCAGGUAGAGAAUACCGAGGCGUUCGGGUGAACUAUGGUUAAGGAACUCGGCAAAAUGCCCCCGUAACUUCGGGAGAAGGGGGGCCAUCACUGGUGAUUGGAUUUACUCCAUGAGCUGGGGGUGGCCGCAGAGACCAGCGAGAAGCGACUGUUUACUAAAAACACAGGUCCGUGCGAAGCCGUAAGGCGAUGUAUACGGACUGACGCCUGCCCGGUGCUGGAACGUUAAGGGGACCGGUUAGUGCACUUUCGGGUGUGCGAAGCUGAGAACUUAAGCGCCAGUAAACGGCGGUGGUAACUAUAACCAUCCUAAGGUAGCGAAAUUCCUUGUCGGGUAAGUUCCGACCUGCACGAAUGGCGUAACGACUUCUCGACUGUCUCAACCAUAGGCCCGGUGAAAUUGCACUACGAGUAAAGAUGCUCGUUUCGCGCAGCAGGACGGAAAGACCCCGGGACCUUUACUAUAGUUUGAUAUUGGUGUUCGGUUCGGCUUGUGUAGGAUAGGUGGGAGACUUUGAAGCGGCCACGCCAGUGGUUGUGGAGUCGCCGUUGAAAUACCACUCUGGUCGUGCUGGAUGUCUAACCUGGGUCCGUGAUCCGGAUCAGGGACAGUGUCUGAUGGGUAGUUUAACUGGGGCGGUUGCCUCCUAAAGAGUAACGGAGGCGCCCAAAGGUUCCCUCAGCCUGGUUGGCAAUCAGGUGUUGAGUGUAAGUGCACAAGGGAGCUUGACUGUGAGACCGACGGGUCGAGCAGGGACGAAAGUCGGGACUAGUGAUCCGGCAGUGGCUUGUGGAAGCGCUGUCGCUCAACGGAUAAAAGGUACCCCGGGGAUAACAGGCUGAUCUUCCCCAAGAGUCCAUAUCGACGGGAUGGUUUGGCACCUCGAUGUCGGCUCGUCGCAUCCUGGGGCUGGAGUCGGUCCCAAGGGUUGGGCUGUUCGCCCAUUAAAGCGGUACGCGAGCUGGGUUUAGAACGUCGUGAGACAGUUCGGUCCCUAUCCGCUGUGCGCGUAGGAAUAUUGAGAAGGGCUGUCCCUAGUACGAGAGGACCGGGACGGACGAACCUCUGGUGUGCCAGUUGUUCUGCCAAGGGCAUGGCUGGUUGGCUACGUUCGGAAAGGAUAACCGCUGAAAGCAUCUAAGCGGGAAGCCUGCUUCGAGAUGAGUGUUCCCACCACCUUGAGUGGUUAAGGCUCCCAGUAGACGACUGGGUUGAUAGGCCAGAUGUGGAAGCCCGGUAACGGGUGGAGCUGACUGGUACUAAUAGGCCGAGGGCUUGUCCUC
RNAcentral lists this ribosomal RNA (1828 nucleotides) under Streptomyces halstedii. RNAcentral describes it as "partial 23S ribosomal RNA". It matches the Rfam family "Bacterial large subunit ribosomal RNA", at positions 1221 to 2925 of the family's 2925-position model. The record is from RNAcentral. Lineage: Bacteria; Bacillati; Actinomycetota; Actinomycetes; Kitasatosporales; Streptomycetaceae. RNAcentral also lists the same sequence under 1 other name.